GUAGGUGGCAAGCGUUGUCCGGAAUUAUUGGGCGUAAAGCGCGCGCAGGCGGUUCUUUAAGUCUGAUGUGAAAGCCCACGGGCUCAACCGUGGAGGGUCAUUGGAAACUGGAGAACUUGAGUAUAGAAGAGGAAAGCGGAAUUCCACGUGUAGCGGUGAAAUGCGUAGAGAUGUGGAGGAACACCAGUGGCGAAGGCGGCUUUCUGGUCUGUAACUGACGCUGAGGCGCGAAAGCGUGGGGAGCAAACAGGAUUAGAUACCCUGGUAGUCCACGCCGUAAACGAUGAGUGCUAAGUGUUAGGGGGUUUCCGCCCCUUAGUGCUGCAGCUAACGCAUUAAGCACUCCGCCUGGGGAGUACGGCCGCAAAGGCUG
Molecule: ribosomal RNA, 373 nt
Filed under: uncultured organism
Description: partial 16S ribosomal RNA
Rfam family: Bacterial small subunit ribosomal RNA
Source: RNAcentral